Molecule: ribosomal RNA, 486 nt
Filed under: uncultured bacterium
Lineage: Bacteria
Description: partial 16S ribosomal RNA
Rfam family: Bacterial small subunit ribosomal RNA
Source: RNAcentral
GAUGAACGCUGGCGGCGUGCUUAACACAUGCAAGUCGAACGGGAUCCAAGGAGCGUUUUUCGUUUUUUGGUGAGAGUGGCGAACGGGUGAGUAACACGUGAGUAACCUGUCCUUUUCUUUGGGAUAAGCUCCUGAAAGGGUGUUUAAUACCUUAUGUUCUGUCUGCCUCGCAUGGGGUGGGUGGGAAAGAUUUUUUCGGUGAAGGGUGGGCUCGCGGUCUAUCAGCUUGUUGGUGGGGUGAUGGCUUACCAAGGCUUUGACGGGUAGCCGGCCUGAGAGGGUGGUCGGUCACAUUGGGACUGAGAUACGGCCCAGACUCCUGCGGGAGGCAGCAGUGGGGGAUAUUGCACAAUGGGCGCAAGCCUGAUGCAGCGACGCCGCGUGGGGGAAGAAGGCCUUCGGGUUGUAAACUUCUUUUGCUCUGAACCAGGCGCAUCUUUGGGGUGUGUUGAGUGUAGGGGUUGAUUAGCGCCGGCUAACUACGUG